AUACGUAGGCAGCGAGCGUUGUUCGGAGUUACUGGGCGUAAAGGGUGUGUAGGCGGUUCUCUAAGUUUGGUGUGAAAUCUCCCAGCUCAACCGGGAGGGUGCGCCGAAAACUGGAGGGCUAGAGUGCGGGAAGGGAGAGUAGAAUUCCUGGUGUAGCGGUGAAAUGCGUAGAUAUCAGGAGGAAUACCGGUGGUGCAGACGGCUCUCUGGACCGCGACUGACGCUGAGACACGAAAGCGUGGGUAGCAAACAGG
Molecule: ribosomal RNA, 254 nt
Filed under: uncultured prokaryote
Description: partial 16S ribosomal RNA
Rfam family: Bacterial small subunit ribosomal RNA
Source: RNAcentral